Molecule: ribosomal RNA, 253 nt
Filed under: uncultured bacterium
Lineage: Bacteria
Description: partial 16S ribosomal RNA
Rfam family: Bacterial small subunit ribosomal RNA
Source: RNAcentral
UACGAAGGGGGCUAGCGUUGUUCGGAUUUACUGGGCGUAAAGCGCACGUAGGCGGAUCGUUAAGUCGGGGGUGAAAUCCUGGAGCUCAACUCCAGAACUGCCUUCGAUACUGGCGAUCUUGAGUCCGGAAGAGGUGAGUGGAACUCCUAGUGUAGAGGUGGAAUUCGUAGAUAUUAGGAAGAGCACCAGUGGCGAAGGCGGCUCACUGGUCCGGUACUGACGCUGAGGCACGAAAGCGUGGGGAGCAAACAGG